This 622-nucleotide ribosomal RNA is filed under the name Burkholderia sp. IBa211. Its description in RNAcentral is "bacterial SSU rRNA". It matches the Rfam family "Bacterial small subunit ribosomal RNA", at positions 391 to 1006 of the family's 1533-position model. Lineage: Bacteria; Pseudomonadati; Pseudomonadota; Betaproteobacteria; Burkholderiales; Burkholderiaceae. The record is from RNAcentral. RNAcentral also lists the same sequence under 6 other names.
GCAAUGCCGCGUGUGUGAAGAAGGCCUUCGGGUUGUAAAGCACUUUUGUCCGGAAAGAAAUCCUUGGCUCUAAUACAGUCGGGGGAUGACGGUACCGGAAGAAUAAGCACCGGCUAACUACGUGCCAGCAGCCGCGGUAAUACGUAGGGUGCGAGCGUUAAUCGGAAUUACUGGGCGUAAAGCGUGCGCAGGCGGUUUGCUAAGACCGAUGUGAAAUCCCCGGGCUCAACCUGGGAACUGCAUUGGUGACUGGCAGGCUAGAGUAUGGCAGAGGGGGGUAGAAUUCCACGUGUAGCAGUGAAAUGCGUAGAGAUGUGGAGGAAUACCGAUGGCGAAGGCAGCCCCCUGGGCCAAUACUGACGCUCAUGCACGAAAGCGUGGGGAGCAAACAGGAUUAGAUACCCUGGUAGUCCACGCCCUAAACGAUGUCAACUAGUUGUUGGGGAUUCAUUUCCUUAGUAACGUAGCUAACGCGUGAAGUUGACCGCCUGGGGAGUACGGUCGCAAGAUUAAAACUCAAAGGAAUUGACGGGGACCCGCACAAGCGGUGGAUGAUGUGGAUUAAUUCGAUGCAACGCGAAAAACCUUACCUACCCUUGACAUGGUCGGAAUCCUGCUGAGA